This 68-nucleotide transfer RNA is filed under the name Taenia arctos. RNAcentral describes it as "tRNA-Glu". Lineage: Eukaryota; Metazoa; Platyhelminthes; Cestoda; Cyclophyllidea; Taeniidae. The record is from RNAcentral.
UUUGUUUUAGUAUAAUAUAUUAUUUUAACUUUUCGUGUUAAGGAUAGUUUAUGUCUGACUAAACAAAA